This 1615-nucleotide long non-coding RNA is filed under the name Sarcophilus harrisii (Tasmanian devil). RNAcentral describes it as "lncRNA (ENSSHAG00000025133.1)". Lineage: Eukaryota; Metazoa; Chordata; Mammalia; Dasyuromorphia; Dasyuridae. The record is from RNAcentral.
GUCAUUUUGAGGAAGGAUCAGCCUUGUUCGGGUUGGCCCCUGAGUGCAGAACCAGCAGUAAGAGGUGGAAAAAGCAGAAAACCUUUCCAACCAAGGAAGCUGUCCUGAAGUAGUAUGGGCAGCUGUAAGAGAGAGUGGGCUUCCUUCCUUCUUGGAGAUCAGUAGGUAGACGCUGGGCAACCAUUCCAUGAUAGGUCCUUUUGACCAUAAAUUGAACCACAGGAUCUCUGAGGUGCUUCCCAGCUCUCAAACUGAAUAAUUCAAUGAUCUGUGCAGAUCCCUGCCUUUAUAUUUUUUUAAGCCCAAAUCAGUGACUUUAUUAUUAUAGGGACUCCCUCUGGGAGAAGUACUCUAUACAGAUUGGUUUAGCAGCUUUGUCUCAGACACUUUCCUUGGGGGCACAGAUGAAGUGAUUUGACUAGGGUCUCAUAGCCAGUGUGUCAGAAAUGGGAGCUGUCUAUCAGCUAUCCCAUGCUGCUUCUUUGCUUUGGCCAAUUGAUCUUUGUCUCUACUUCUUUAAGACUUUCUGUUCCUAGCCCUGAGAUUCAUCCUGUAGUUACUGAGUUCUGAAGAUUGUUAGGGCGUUAUCAUGCUGAUACUCUGGCUUCUGAAACAAGGCUUCCAUGGACUUCGUUCCUAGUCCCCUGCCUCAGAUCCAUGGUUGGGGGCUUCCAGGUGCCUUCUCUGACCUGUGUCCCACCCUGAUCCCACACAUUUCAUUUCUUGGACACCGGCUUAGAAAUAGAUUGUUUAUUCAUAAACAGAUUUUGGAGGUCAAAAGAUGUCAAACUCAACUGCUGAGUAAAAUUGAAACUGCUGGAGGAAGGGUGACCAGCACAAAGCCCAGCACUUGUGAUGAAGUAGAGGAUAAGAGGGGAAGGAUGGAAGAAGAAUCAUGGGAGCUCAGAGAAGGACAAGGACCUGAUCCAGAUCUUGGCAGACUGGGGUCCAAGCUCUGGGGCCCUGACCAGGUUACAGGGAACCAUGGUUAAGAAUGUCCGGUCUGGGGUAAGAAUGGGAGAGAAGUAAAGUGAAAGGGAGGAGAAAUGAGGGACAAACAGGGAAGAUCAAAUAACAGAGAGAAGACUGAAAAAUAGAGACGGGAAACCAAGGAAGAGAGAGUCAGGGAAGACUGAAGAGAUUAAGGGUGAAAGGGGUGGGGGAGGCUGAGAAGAAAAGAACAAAAAUGGGGGACAAUAAGGAAGAGAGUUGGGGAAACAGAGGGAAUGGGGAGGCUGAGGGAGAUAAGAGAUGGAAGGAUGGAGGCAGAGAGAUUGAAGGACAAAGAGUAAAGUGAGGAUGAUAAUAACAUUAAGCUCCUGGGUUUUUUGUGGAUCAGAUGAGAUCUGUAAAAUUCUCAGAACAAGUGGCACCUGGACACUUAGUAAAUGUUUGUUUUCUUCCAUAUUUCUCCAUAUUUUUCCUAAGUGCUCCAAAGCUGCCCCUUUCUUGAAGACCUCCAGUGAGGAGGUGGAGGAAGCCAUUUCCCUUUGUGGACAGCUCUAGUCCUGAGGAACUUUUCAUGACAUCCAGUCUAAAUUGGCUUCUUUGUAGUAACUAUAGGCUGCUCUAUGUUCUGCCCCCUGGGCCUAAAUAAAAAAUAAUUUCUUUUUCU